GCCUGCCUCACAGCCAAGCUGACUCUCUUCCUCUGUUCCGCAGACACCAUGAGACUGUCGCCGUGCCCUCCCAGCCACCGUGCUCCGCCUGGUCACACCCAGGAGCAGGGAAGCCACGUGACCUCCGAAACUGUGCGCCUAAAGAAACUUGCUCAGUUAAAUUACCCUUCUCUAGUGUUCUACAGGAACAGAAGGCUUUGAUAUGUCAACAGGAAUGGCAGAGACAAAGAAGGAAAGGGAAGGGGCGGAGAAAGUGGAGAAGAGAGACUAACACAGUUUUCAUCUACACUGCUGCACUGAGAAGUGUAGGGAGGUGGCUAUCAUGUAAGUCCUGGUUUUAGGGACACGGGCUUUAAACCCCAUCACUACCAUUUAUAAGAGGUCGGAAUUUGGGGUGAGUGAGUAAACCUCCCAGAAGAAGCUCGGUCUUCUCAUCGGUAACAGAAGAUAACAGCAGAAUCUCUGAAUGCAUUGAACUAAGGAUCAAACUAACUAUCGUGAUCAGUGCUUAUCAGGAUGCCUGGCAUACUGUGAACCUCUGGUCUAGUCGUGGUUAUUUUGUGAGUGUUAGUCAUCAGCCUAAUGAGCUUUGUUUGGGUGGGGUUUAGCUACUACAUUUGUUUCUGGAGAAUAUAUAAGAGAGAUGCAGUAACAAAAAUAAGAGAAAAUGCAAGGUGUUUCUACCAGAUAUAGCCUGAAAUUAUGCUGCCUGAGGACUGAGAAAGCUACAGCUGUGGAGGAGUGACUUACUGGCCUUCACAUACUGACCGGAAGAAGAGUGAGGCUUAUUCUCUGGACCUGGUGUGGGACUGAGCAGCAUGCGUAUUUCAGGCCCAGAUUCUUAGGAAUGUGUCCAUGAAGAAACAUGCCCCCAAAAGCCAAGGAAAGCUGCCGGAAGAGAUGUAGGAUGCUAAAACCAUCGUCACUACGUACUCUGGAAAGUUUCAAGAUACAAAGAGGGGAAAAACGGGUUCGGGAUGUAAAGGAGUGAACCGGGGCCUCUCAUCCUGUGCUCUUCAGUAUCAGCUACUGAAUCGCAGCGGCAGCUGGGACACAGUGGGCCGCAAAGUUCAGGCCUCUUCUUCCUGCUAAGUCUUCCAGGGUCCCCAAUGGGUGCGGUGCACGGGAGCAGCCAGGCUGCGCUUACGUGCACAGCUGGCUGUGAACCCUGAGAAUGUGAACCCAGCUUCUCUGGAACCAAGGCAUAGAAGCUGUGCAAACAGCAAGAUCUUUCAGGAGGAAACCACACAAUUCCGCAAAUGCACGCAUCCUCCGGAUUGGACUGUGUGACUCCACCCCAGGAUUCUCAAGAGAAACCACCCUGCUGUGUGCACCUGGCUGGGAAACUGGGCAAGCUUCUCCCUGGCUGUGCCCAGGUCCCUGACCCGCAAGUCCUAGUUGUGACUGUAACAAGCAGUGAGGAGCAGUGAGGGCAGGUAAGGAGACGGCUGCUGGGGUCCGCCACGGGGAGGCCGCAUUGUAAGGCCUUUGUCUGUGGACUUAAUUGAAACCAAAUGUUUUGGGGGCCUGGAGGCUGUGGGAACAGGAGGAAUAUAAGCUGUACAUUCCUCAAGUUCAAGCAGAGAGCAGAGAGACCCCAGAAGCUCAGUGGCAGGGAAAAAGUUGACUUUCCAGAGUUUAAUCAGAGGAACGAGAGGACACAUGUACUCUGCAUUUGUAUCCACCUUCUUUUAGCAUCCCUGCACCUCUGUGGACUUCAUUUUCUUCUGCAUAAAUGAAGGUUCAGCUGCGGAUGCUAAACUGACUUCCCAAUAGCAAGUGCUUGGCAUAUAAUAGCUGAUCAACAAAUCCUUCUGGGUAAAUAAGUGGAUGGUGUUUAGCAGCAUGGGCGUUUAAUGCCCAUUUCUGCCCCUUCUUAGCCACGAGACUUGAGGCACUUUGCUCAACAUCAGUGCCUCAGUUUCUCCAUAUCAAAUGACUUUAAUAAUAGCUAGCAGGCUGAACAGCCCAAUGCACCUGCAGGCCAUCUGGUGGCUUGCAAGGCCGUUCCCUGGCUGCUCCCAGCUGACCCCAGCAGCUGGGGUCCUCACACCUUCUGGGCAGCCCUCCUCUCUGCCACCCCCAGGGGUGGGGAGAGAAGACAGUGGGAUGGCAGUGAAGAAGCAGCACGAGAAGUACAAACUCAGUAGCACUUCGGAACAUGAGAUAACGGAAAUGAGGAAAAAGGCUUAUGCUGAGCCUAGAUAGGUGACAGUGGCCCGGACCAGACGCUGGAGGUGCACUGCUGGAGGCGCCUGGCCACAGCCCAGGUUACAGGCUGCACCUCAGGCUGAGAAGUGCCCAGACUGCGCAUGCGCUCUUCAGCAGGCUCACUGCUGGUGCUGGGGCGUCCGCGGAGCUGGAGCUGGCACCCUGAGUCAGACCGCAGCGAGGCUGGGAGGAAGGGGCUACUACAGUGCCUGAGAGACCCGGACAGCCAGCGUGGGCUCUGACCUCAAAAUCACCUCGCCACGGUCACAGCCAUCUGCAGAACGACUGUUUCCUUUAUCGACCUCCGAGAAUUUAUUCUGCCCCUUAAAAAUUUUUUUGAUACUGGGGAUCGCAUAAAAUUUAAAUUUUUCAAACUUUAAUUCAAUUUUUUUAGCCUUGUUACUUUUGCUCUAUUUUCCCUAAUAGGUCCGCAGUGGCAGUACGUGAGGCUUCCAUGGCUUGUGCAGAGUGGGGUGUGGACACCACAAGUCUUCGCUGAUGUCUUAUCCCCUUCUGGCCUCUCUGUUUCCCCUGCGCCCAUCUAGUGGUCCUCUGCCCCUCUGAGAAAGAUCUGUCUCCCUAGGCCCUAUCACUUGUCUUUUAAUGGUUCUUUAUCUUUCGGGCUUCUCGUACAGAGUACGCCAUGCAUGUUUAAGGCUGAGCGCUCGGUUUAUUUCAUCCUGGUCUCCUCCAGUUGACUCGGGUUAUCCCCUUCAGGGCACAGUCGUGCUCCGCUGUUCUCUCUGUACCUUCACCUGCUGAUGGACACACAGCUGCUCCGGGGAGUCGGCCCUUAGGAGCUGUGCUGCAAAGGGCUCAGCCGCUUCCUCACAUGCAGUUCCUGAUAACUGUGUGAUGUGAAUAUCCAUGUGCCUACUUUCUACACCUUCCCUCGGGUGUUUUCUCCUUACUGGAGGCUACUUCCAGUUGUUGCUUAUCUGUUUACCAGUUUCUCUGUGUGCAAUGUGGGCCUUCACUAGCACAGUGUGUUUCAUGAGAGCUAAGGCUCCGCCUGGCCCAGGCCCAGUCCCAGCACCCAGAGGGGCGCUAGCAACCUCAGGAGUUCCAGAACUGCAUGUUUCUUGGGUAAAAGAUGCCCACUUCCUGUGGGCUGGGGUAGUCCUUGAGUCUCAGAUUCUGAGAAAACCACACUCCUAUGAACAUUACCAGCACCCUUCAAAAUAUUUUUUGCUUUUGGUGACAGCUCCCACUUUUCCCUUCCCUGUACAAUCAGAGGACCACUUCUCCCAGUGUCAUGUUUCCUCCUAUCCAUAGGGAGUUCUGAGAAGUCUUAGGUCAUGGCCACAAGUAGAAGAGAAGCGUCACCCUGUAAUGCCUUGAGACCUGCGAUGGGGGACAGACCCCUCGGCUUGUGGCUGGACAUUCUCCACCUUCUUUUUCAGCAUUAAUACUUUUAUCAAAUAAAAUGCCUCCUUAUGAAUUCCAA
This is a long non-coding RNA of Cavia porcellus (domestic guinea pig), 3658 nucleotides long. RefSeq lists it as uncharacterized. The transcript has 2 exons. The record is from RefSeq and is a predicted model, not a curated record. NCBI's taxonomy places the organism in Eukaryota, Metazoa, Chordata, Mammalia, Rodentia, Caviidae.